GACGAACGCUGGCGGCGUGCUUAACACAUGCAAGUCGAACGGAAAGGCCCUGCUUUUGUGGGGUGCUCGAGUGGCGAACGGGUGAGUAACACGUGAGUAACCUGCCCUUGACUUUGGGAUAACUUCAGGAAACUGGGGCUAAUACAGGACAGGAGCUCCUGCUGCAUGGAGGGGGUUGGAAAGUUUCGGCGGUUGGGGAUGGACUCGCGGCUUAUCAGCUUGUUGGUGGGGUAGUGGCUUACCAAGGCUUUGACGGGUAGCCGGCCUGAGAGGGUGACCGGCCACAUUGGGACUAAGAUACGGCCCAGACUCCUACGGGAGGCAGCAGUGGGGAAUAUUGCACAAUGGGCGGAAGCCUGAUGCAGCAACGCCGCGUGCGGGAUGACGGCCUUCGGGUUGUGAACCGCUUUCGCCUGUGACGAAGCGUGAGUGACGGUAAUGGGUAAAGAAGCACCGGCUAACUACGUG
Molecule: ribosomal RNA, 468 nt
Filed under: uncultured bacterium
Lineage: Bacteria
Description: partial 16S ribosomal RNA
Rfam family: Bacterial small subunit ribosomal RNA
Source: RNAcentral